This 449-nucleotide ribosomal RNA is filed under the name uncultured bacterium. RNAcentral's name for it is "partial 16S ribosomal RNA". It matches the Rfam family "Bacterial small subunit ribosomal RNA", at positions 354 to 796 of the family's 1533-position model. The record is from RNAcentral.
GUCGAGAAUCUUUCACAAUGGGGGCAACCCUGAUGGAGCGACGCCGCGUGGAGGAUAAGGUCUUCGGAUUGUAAACUCCUGUCAUGCGUGAACAAGGUUGCUUGGUUAAUACCUGGGCAAAUUGAUGGUAACGCAAGAGGAAGAGACGGCUAACUCUGUGCCAGCAGCCGCGGUAAUACAGAGGUCUCAAGCGUUGUUCGGAAUCACUGGGCGGAAAGGGUGCGUAGGUGGCGUGGUAAGUCAGAUGUGAAAGCCCGGGGCUCAACCUCGGAACUGCAUCCGAUACUGCCAUGCUAGAGUACUGGAGAGGUGACUAGAAUUCUCGGUGUAGCAGUGAAAUGCGUAGAUAUCGAGAGGAAUACCAAAGGCGUAGGCAGGUCACUGGACAGUUACUGACACUGAGGCACGAAGGCCAGGGGAGCGAACGGGAUUAGAAACCCUAGUAGUCC